This 827-nucleotide ribosomal RNA is filed under the name Pseudarthrobacter scleromae. RNAcentral's name for it is "bacterial SSU rRNA". It matches the Rfam family "Bacterial small subunit ribosomal RNA", at positions 56 to 896 of the family's 1533-position model. Lineage: Bacteria; Bacillati; Actinomycetota; Actinomycetes; Micrococcales; Micrococcaceae. The record is from RNAcentral.
UGCAGUCGAACGAUGAUCCCAGCUUGCUGGGGGAUUAGUGGCGAACGGGUGAGUAACACGUGAGUAACCUGCCCUUAACUCUGGGAUAAGCCUGGGAAACUGGGUCUAAUACCGGAUAUGACUCCUCAUCGCAUGGUGGGGGGUGGAAAGCUUUUUGUGGUUUUGGAUGGACUCGCGGCCUAUCAGCUUGUUGGUGAGGUAAUGGCUCACCAAGGCGACGACGGGUAGCCGGCCUGAGAGGGUGACCGGCCACACUGGGACUGAGACACGGCCCAGACUCCUACGGGAGGCAGCAGUGGGGAAUAUUGCACAAUGGGCGAAAGCCUGAUGCAGCGACGCCGCGUGAGGGAUGACGGCCUUCGGGUUGUAAACCUCUUUCAGUAGGGAAGAAGCGAAAGUGACGGUACCUGCAGAAGAAGCGCCGGCUAACUACGUGCCAGCAGCCGCGGUAAUACGUAGGGCGCAAGCGUUAUCCGGAAUUAUUGGGCGUAAAGAGCUCGUAGGCGGUUUGUCGCGUCUGCCGUGAAAGUCCGGGGCUCAACUCCGGAUCUGCGGUGGGUACGGGCAGACUAGAGUGAUGUAGGGGAGACUGGAAUUCCUGGUGUAGCGGUGAAAUGCGCAGAUAUCAGGAGGAACACCGAUGGCGAAGGCAGGUCUCUGGGCAUUAACUGACGCUGAGGAGCGAAAGCAUGGGGAGCGAACAGGAUUAGAUACCCUGGUAGUCCAUGCCGUAAACGUUGGGCACUAGGUGUGGGGGACAUUCCACGUUUUCCGCGCCGUAGCUAACGCAUUAAGUGCCCCGCCUGGGGAGUACGGCCGCAAGGCUA